GGCAGUUGGGUGUUUCUUGGAAAGAUCACUCCCCGUUGCUUUUCCCAUCUUUGCUUUUCCCAUCCUUUGCUUUUCCCAUCCUUCGCUCCUCCAUCCGCGGCCGUUACCCCAGCCCUCGAGCACCAGAAAUAGAAACUCGGAGGCUGGCGUCGAGGCUAGACAUGGACUCCGCGCCUGGCCCCUUCCAGAUCCCAGUUUUCUAAAGUGACUUCGCACCAAAGUCCGAAAAGGGUGUGUGGAAUCGAUUUAAGUUUAACCUGACAGUACAUGUCUUGAAGGUCUUUUAUGAACUUGAAACACAUCGGCUAGGUCUUCAUCCUCACCUGCACUGGAAUUACCUACUUAAGAAAAACAAACUAAUGAUACACAAAGAAGCACUUAUGUAUGUAUUUAAACACUUGCUGGGAUCCUUCUGAAAACUACAGUUUGAAUUUUACGUUUCCGGUUUAGUUUAAAUUGUAUUGUUUACUUGUAUGUAUUAGCUUAAAUAAAAUAAUAGUCAUUUCAAAUGUUUCUCAGAGACAACAGGGUAAGUAAAAAAUAGUUGUGUUAUGACAUCUGUGAAUAUAAAAGUUAUUUGUGGCCCAUUAUAUUUUAUUUUUCAAGUUCAAACGUAUUUCAAAUAUGAAACGCAUUAUCAUAAUCUCCAUAUUGAUUAGUUGUCCAAGUUGAAAAGUGUUUACAAUUUUAAUUUUUUCCAGAUGAUUAUUACUCUGUUUUCAGGCUAUAAAUUUCAUCUCAUGUAAUUUUCUUUGUAGAACUUUGACAUAGCAGUUAACAUCAAGUGGUUGUACUACAAUUUUUGCUUAUUUUGUUUUUCAACUGCAUUGGGUCCUGUUAUAAGUGCAUAUACAUCUGGAAUGCUUCCAUCUUUAAAUUAAAAGCACUUUAUCACAUCUGAAGGUUCUCUGCAGAGAGUCACUUUCUGACUGCUUAGGAACUUGAUAAGCCAAAUAGUAUUCCAUCACUGUAGGUAAACAGUUCUGGGAAAGAAAAAUCUACAGUCUUUGACAAUUCUUCCUGUCAAUUGUUUGUACCUCAUUCUAGAAAUUACAUAUCUUCAUGCCGGAAACACUAUUUGGAUGCGUGUGGAUGAUUCUGAAAAUUGAUAUAGUCUGAAGGAUGUAUAUGUACAUUUAUAUAUAGA
Molecule: long non-coding RNA, 1147 nt
Filed under: Homo sapiens (human)
Lineage: Eukaryota; Metazoa; Chordata; Mammalia; Primates; Hominidae
Description: HSALNT0399952
Source: RNAcentral